Molecule: unclassified non-coding RNA, 209 nt
Filed under: uncultured Clavariaceae
Lineage: Eukaryota; Fungi; Basidiomycota; Agaricomycetes; Agaricales; Clavariaceae
Also listed under: 1 other name
Description: sequence contains ITS2
Source: RNAcentral
AAUUCUCAACUUCAAAAAUUUAUUCAUUUGAAGCUUGGAUGUUGGAGGAAUUUGCCGGCCCAAGUCAGUGUUGGCUCCUCUUAAAUGCAUUAGCAGAACUUGUACGUUCGGCUCUGGUUUGAUAAUGCUAUCUAUGCCAUUGCUGAAAGGUGAUUUGUUCAGCUUCCAAUGGUCCAUUAUGGACUGUCUCCUUGGAGGCAUUAUCUUUG